Molecule: long non-coding RNA, 2401 nt
Organism: Oncorhynchus nerka (sockeye salmon)
Lineage: Eukaryota; Metazoa; Chordata; Actinopteri; Salmoniformes; Salmonidae
Exons: 3
Source: RefSeq, a predicted model, not a curated record
CCAAUCGGGAGAGACGCUGGUUGGAGCUGGAGACCGAACAGUUGACGGCUGGUUUGUGCUUUGUCAGUGUCCGAUUCGGAUUGGAAAGCGACAGGUUUUUGAGUGUUGAUGUAGAGGUGUUUAUCCAACACUGCGCUGUGACUGGAGCAGAGAUGGAUGGAUGGAAAUGUAAGGGGGUUAGGACUUGAGGAGGAUGUGAUGGAGUGUAGCGAUGGAGGGGGGAAAGUUGGAGGAAGAGUAGUGCGAGUAGAUAUGAAGAAGCGGAAGACUGAGGAUCUUUUGCCGGUCUAGUCAGGGGAGAGUGGUAACGAAGGAGGUUCCGAUCAGUGUUUUAUGGAGAGAAGUGGAGUUCAAUGGGUUGGUUAAGUUUAAGGACAAGAGUGGAGUAAUGGCGGUGAGUCUGAUCGAAUUGGCUCGUGAUUUGUAUAGUAAAGUAGGAGAGGUUGUGUCUGCUAAAAGUCUUUGUGUUGGAAGUUUGGUGGUAGUGUGUAUUGAUGCUAAACAGCAUGAGAAGGCUCUCAAACUCAAGCAGGUAUGUAAACGUGAGGUUGAUAGUAGCAUACCGGAUCAAACCGGGCGGUAGUGGCUGACAGGAAUUAUUUUACCAGAGUCCCAGAAAUAGUUAACAUAAAAUAAAUAAAGAAUCACUUGAAGGGAGGCUCUCUUAUUGAUGCAAAGUGCCUCCAGAUGACACAAGAAGGGAAGGUGGAUAGCCUGUCAGAGAUACUAAACUUUGAGGAUCCGGUACUGGCAGAAAAAGUUCAGAUGUGCAAGCUUAUGUUCCCGAAACCAUUGCGUUGAUAUAACUGUUAAAGGUUUGGGUAUGUGGCGUUUAAAGGGAAAACGAGAUUUGUGAAGUGUGGGGUCGAACAUGAAUGUGGAGAUCCAGUUAAACUGCUGUGAUGAAAAGACAAGUAGAAGUGCAGCAGGUGAGGAAUGAGCGUAAAAUCUCAUAUGCAGAAGCAGUAAAGGUUGUAAACGCAGAGCACCUAGAAGAGCAGGUAUUCCAGGACAGAUUGGGAUGCAGGUUGGGCGUGAUGUAGUGAGAAGAAUGGGAGAGAACACACGACUGGUAGACAUGAAUAAGGUUGUUACAUGUGCACGAAACCCACACACAUAAACAGUAACAAACAUUAAUCGCGAACAUCGUAACUGGACAUCUUUCUUGCCGAAGAUUGAGGCCAACUUUUGUAUGCUAGCAACAUACUGUUUGAAUUUACACUCCUUUACAGUUUUAGUGGACGAGAAAAUAGGUCUAUAUGUAAUGGGUGUCUAUUUUUUUUGAAGUAUUGGUGGUGAUUGAGCAACAGAAACAGCAAGAAAAGACUGACAACUUAUUAAUAUGCAAAACCCAUAUUUCAAUAAUGUUGUGAUUGAACAACAACAACUGCAUUCCCAUCCCCCACCUCUAAAGGCUCUAAAGGCAUAGUCACGUCAUAGUCAGUCAUCAAGGCAGGUCACCUGUCAAGACAGUCAGUCAGUAAUUGCGGCAGAUGUGCUCAAUAGUCCCCAAGCGUGGCGUUAACACACAGGGUGUGUCACAAGCUAAACACAUGUACACAUGAACAUCCUCUGCUUCCUUCUCCUGACGCUGGACAAGCAGACUAUGCAGUGCCUCCUUGUGCGACUGCCUUGAGCAGCAGUUUGAGGGUCUUCGGAGGGAAAAUGCAGUGCCGUGAGGCAUAUCAGCAGGACACCCGCCAGUGGAUGGACACAGAAGUGUGUGGUGCUCGUUCAGCGGCUCUCUCAUGAGGUUCUCUCUAUACUUUUGUCAAGCACGGUUUGCUCUUUCUCCCGUCUGGUGGUCCACCUUUCCUGUGGCAACAUGGUCAGUGGAGAGGACAUGUACAAAUACAGCUGUUGACGGUUCUCCUUGAACUCCCCCUCUGCAUCUUCCUGCUUCUGAAUGCCUGCAUCCCUUUCCUGUUCGAACAGUCUGUGCCAAAGGCCCCUGUGCUGUUCGAGAGCAGAUGCUGGAAGUGUGUGGGACUGCUGUACCAAUUGUGUGGCCCUUCCCGAGAUGAGGAGCCAGCAUGGUGAUCAGCACGAACCCAUAAUAUUAGAUGUCAGUGUUGGACCCUGUGUACUUCACCCACUGUUGGUCUGCCUCCAUCACCACCAGCAUCUUCAGAGUGACCUGGUACUUCGUUGGUGUGCAAGGGGUCCUCAGACUCAGGGUUCUCAAUGACCACAAGGUUGGGGGCAGCUCCUCACUGAUUCCUGACUUUCCGACUCAGAAUUUACGAAAAUCUCUAGAAUGUUUUGCUUUUGAAAGACAUUGCUAAUGCUACAGCUUAGCCCACUAGCUACAUACAUAAACAACAACACUGAAUUUCUCUGAGUGACUGUCAGAGGUUACUUGAUUGACUGCCGGCACACGCCAAUUGUAUGAAUAAAUCAA